RNAcentral lists this ribosomal RNA (253 nucleotides) under uncultured bacterium. RNAcentral's name for it is "partial 16S ribosomal RNA". It matches the Rfam family "Bacterial small subunit ribosomal RNA", at positions 524 to 776 of the family's 1533-position model. The record is from RNAcentral.
UACGUAGGGUGCGCGAGCUGUCCGGAUUUAUUGGGUUUAAAGGGUGCGUAGGUGGCUUGGUAAGUCUUGGGUGAAAGGCUACGGCUUAACCGUAGGAAUGCCUGAGAGACUGCCCGGCUUGAGUAUCGUGGAGGUAGCUGGAAUUGGUGGUGUAGCGGUGAAAUGCAUAGAUACCACCAGGAACACCGAUUGCGUAGGCAGGCUACUACGGGAUAACUGACACUGAGGCACGAAAGCGUGAGGAGCGAACAGG